This 155-nucleotide non-coding RNA is filed under the name bovine gut metagenome. The record is from RNAcentral.
UUAUGUCAAGGCUGCCAAGAGGGAAUCACGUGAAAACCGUGAGCUGUCGCGCAACUGUAAUUACGCUGCUGAAUGGCAGAAACAACGUCAUUGGGGGACAAACCCUGAGAAGACUUCUGCCACGAGGCGAUAAGCCAGGAGACCUGCCCAUGAUG